Long non-coding RNA from Mus musculus (house mouse), 499 nucleotides. RefSeq annotates it as predicted gene, 40347. The transcript is spliced from 3 exons. The record is from RefSeq and is a predicted model, not a curated record. Lineage: Eukaryota; Metazoa; Chordata; Mammalia; Rodentia; Muridae.
AGAAGUUGGAAGUGGGCAGUCACCUCAUAGCCAUCGACAAGGGAGAAGGAAAUGAACGGCUGCCAUAUGCUUGCUCUCUUUCUCUCCUCUUACACCAUGAAGGACCCACUGAAUGAUGCUGCUGGUGGCUGAAUCUUCCCACACCAGUCAACUUAAGACUUUCCCCCCAUAGGCAUGCCUACAGACCAACCCAAUGUGGACAAUUCCUCACUGAGAUGUUCUUCCCAGAUGACCAUAGACUGUGACAAGGCAUUAAAGCUGGCCACCACGCUUGCUGUGUGACUCUAGGGAAUUUCGAGGCAGGAACUCAAGACAGGAACCUGGAGGCAGGCACUGAUGAAGAAGACGCUGUGGAGAGUGCUCAUUACUGGCUUGCUUGCUCUGGCUGUCUUUCUUACAUACCCCAUGGCCACCUGCUCCAGCACGGCACCGCCCACAGUGGUCCGGCCACGCCCACAUCAGUCUUUAGGUGUCUAUUGCUGUGAAGAGUCACCAUGAC